GGAUAUGUGUAGGAGAUACUAGGUUAUCCUGACCCGAAAGGAACUGGUUAAUGAUCUAUUGUAUUACAGAUGGUCAUAACAGGACCAUAACAGGAAGAAGAAGACAUGAGAAUGAGGGUAAUUUCCAAGGACAAGGAAACAGGUGUUAUGCUACAAUAAUACAGGUGUUGCAUAGGGAGAUAUGUAGCUUGGAUAGAUUGUGAACCCAGGAAAGGGGCAGAGACUGUAUAUUUGAACCUGUAUAUAAACCCCAGCCUUCCUGGGAACCAUGUCUUCUGCCAUGAGCAGAAUUCCCUUUUGCAAAAGCUUAAUAAUAAAGCUCUUGUUCACAUGUUUCCAGUUGUUUUUUGAUUAUUAUCACAAUGAAUUUAGGAAUC
Notechis scutatus (mainland tiger snake) is the source of this 377-nucleotide non-coding RNA. The record is from RefSeq and is a predicted model, not a curated record. NCBI's taxonomy places the organism in Eukaryota, Metazoa, Chordata, Lepidosauria, Squamata, Elapidae.